This 465-nucleotide ribosomal RNA is filed under the name uncultured bacterium. RNAcentral describes it as "bacterial SSU rRNA". It matches the Rfam family "Bacterial small subunit ribosomal RNA", at positions 338 to 795 of the family's 1533-position model. The record is from RNAcentral.
CCUACGGGUUGCACCAGUGGGGAAUAUUGCACAAUGGGCGCAAGCCUGAUGCAGCCAUGCCGCGUGUAUGAAGAAGGCCUUCGGGUUGUAAAGUACUUUCGGCGGGGGGGAAGGCGAUAAGGUUAAUAACCUUGUCGAUUGACGUUACCCGCAGAAGAAACACCGGCUAACUCCGUGCCAGCAGCCGCGGUAAUACGGAGGGUGCAAGCGUUAAUCGGAAUUACUGGGCGUAAAGCGCACGCAGGCGGUCUGUCAAGUCGGAUGUGAAAUCCCCGGGCUCAACCUGGGAACUGCAUUCGAAACUGGCAGGCUAGAGUCUUGUAGAGGGGGGUAGAAUUCCAGGUGUAGCGGUGAAAUGCGUAGAGAUCUGGAGGAAUACCGGUGGCGAAGGCGGCCCCCUGGACAAAGACUGACGCUCAGGUGCGAAAGCGUGGGGAGCAAACAGGAUUAGAUACCCUCGUAGUC